ACUCCUACGGGAGGCAGCAGUGGGGAAUAUUGCACAAUGGGCGCAAGCCUGAUGCAGCCAUGCCGCGUGUAUGAAGAAGGCCUUCGGGUUGUAAAGUACUUUCAGCAGUGAGGAAGGUGGGUAUGUUAAUAGCAUACUCAUUUGACGUUAGCUGCAGAAGAAGCACCGGCUAACUCCGUGCCAGCAGCCGCGGUAAUACGGAGGGUGCGAGCGUUAAUCGGAAUUACUGGGCGUAAAGCGCAUGCAGGUGGUUUGUUAAGUCAGAUGUGAAAGCCCGGGGCUCAACCUCGGAAUUGCAUUUGAAACUGGCAAACUAGAGUACUGUAGAGGGGGGUAGAAUUUCAGGUGUAGCGGUGAAAUGCGUAGAGAUCUGAAGGAAUACCGGUGGCGAAGGCGGCCCCCUGGACAGAUACUGACACUCAGAUGCGAAAGCGUGGGGAGCAAACAGGAUUAGAUACCCUGGUGGCACUGC
Molecule: ribosomal RNA, 472 nt
Filed under: uncultured bacterium
Lineage: Bacteria
Description: bacterial SSU rRNA
Rfam family: Bacterial small subunit ribosomal RNA
Source: RNAcentral